UUUUACCCCUGUGCCCUUCAAUUAUGUAUUAACCUAAUAAUCUGUAUUAACUUGUCAAAUAUCUGCUGAUGAUUGUUGGUUGAUUGUCAGUUCUUGCCUGCUUUAAAGUAGAAGCUUUUUUGUGCAAUUUUCAUCCAUUUCAUCAAAACGGCAAAUUAUUCAAAUGCAAAUAUGACCGAUAUGCAUUUUGUUUAUAGUCUUGUUCACGGAAAUUCAUUGCAAGAUUAUAGGAUGCUAAAACAUACAUUAUUUGCACGCCUUCAUCAAAGACUACGAGAAACUGAAACUUUUCAACCAAGAAAACAUGAUUGUGAUCGCCAAAGCGAUAUUAAAACACCAGAAUCGGAAGAAGCAGUACACUGAAAAAAAUGGGGGGAAAUAUACCAAAUAAAUUUAUUAUUAAUUACCAAUUGUAUUCUGUAGAAGCCCAAACUUUAGUAAUUUUUUAAAGAAUAUUGAACUUCACUUUGUAAAACAUACAAAAUAUCAUUUGUAAAAUUUAUUUUGCAUGUAAUUUUUACAAUAUACAAAGUAAUAUUUUAGUUUACACGGUAAAAAUACGUAAACAAAACGGGAAAAUACAUAUAUUUUGUAAAAUUACAUAAUUCGCUACGUAAAUUAACAGACGCCACCAAAUACGCCAUACCUACACUCAGCUAAUUUAGGCUAAUUCGGCGUUUGCCGUUUGCUUAGUCACACCUCGCACCAAAAUUAUUAAGGGAGCGUGAGCUCAGGCUUCUAUGGGAUAAAGUAUUGCCAUUAACACCUAUAAACUGUUUAUCUAUGAGUAUUGCGUAUUAGUGUAUUGGUUAAGUGAAUUUUGUCCAUCUUGUUUGAGUUUUUGUGAUAAUACAGGGAAACGAAAGAAGAAUGGCCAUUACUAUUUUCAUCACCAUCUCUCUUUUGGCAUUUUCAAGAAUUAACAGGUGCUGAGAUUCACCUACUCAAUGGAAUAAAUGAGAAAGCUGACAAAAUCACAAAGUGCCUUAAACUCCCCAAAGACGCUGAUUUAGAAGAAAAUGUAUCAAUAGAACAGCAACUAAUUAAAAAUUUAAUACAGCACUUCAAGGAAGAUAUUGAAUUUUUGAUAUCUCAAACAGGGGCAAGUGACAUUUUUUAAAUAAAAAAAAACUAAACACUUUACGACUCUAACCUUAAUUACAACUGUAAUAUUAUUUUUUAUUUUAAAUAUAUAUUUUUUAUUCCAGGUCCAAAUGAAUUUAAACGACAACGAUGUUUAUCUCGACAAUUUGCACCAGCGCCUAUAUUUUUUAAAGCAAGAAAACAAAAAAUUGCUUUUAUGUUUUGGUUGAACGUCAAAUAAUACAGGCAGAUGGCUACACCACUUUUCUGGAGGCCCUAAAAGUUCUUCUUGCGUUGUACUUUGUACUAAACUUGGUUUACCCGAAAAAACUAGAAACUACCCUGGAAUUUCUCCAAAGAUAUUUUCUAAAACUUCACCCCGAUCAGGGAAGUAAAGCCAGGCAGGUAUCUAAUAGCCGAAAGAAGGUAUUUUCUUUAAUGAAUUCAAUAAAAAAUAAAAAAACAUAAUAAGUACCUAUAAUAUAUAAUAUAUCUUUGUUAUAUUAUUAUGCAUACUAUGUAUAUUUUUUUAUGUAGAAAAACAUGUUACAUACCAUGUAAUGUUAUUUAUUUUGUUUACGUAUAAGUACCUACGACAAUAAUUUUAUUGAAGAAGAAGGUACAUAUUUCCUAUAUUUUGUUUUAUUAUUAUUAGAAUAAUAGGUUUUUGUUAGACAGUGUGAUUUUAAAGUCGAUUUUUUGAUCUUUUAACAAAAGAUUAAGAUCAAAAAAAGUUU
Molecule: long non-coding RNA, 1820 nt
Organism: Anthonomus grandis grandis
Lineage: Eukaryota; Metazoa; Arthropoda; Insecta; Coleoptera; Curculionidae
Exons: 3
Source: RefSeq, a predicted model, not a curated record